This 251-nucleotide ribosomal RNA is filed under the name uncultured bacterium. RNAcentral's name for it is "partial 16S ribosomal RNA". It matches the Rfam family "Bacterial small subunit ribosomal RNA", at positions 524 to 775 of the family's 1533-position model. The record is from RNAcentral.
UACGUAGGGGGCAAGCGUUGUCCGGAUUUAUUGGGCGUAAAGAGCGUGUAGGCGGUUCGGUAGGUCCGUUGUGAAAACUCGAGCUCAACCUCGAGACGCCGAUGGAAACCCCCGAACUAGAGUCCGGAAGAGGAGAGUGGAAUUCCUGGUGUAGCGGUGAAAUGCGCAGAUAUCAGGAAGAACACCCGUGGCUAAGGCGGCUCUCUAGUACGGUACUGACGCUGAGACGCGAAAGCGUGGGGAGCGAACAG